Molecule: long non-coding RNA, 355 nt
Organism: Mesocricetus auratus (golden hamster)
Lineage: Eukaryota; Metazoa; Chordata; Mammalia; Rodentia; Cricetidae
Exons: 2
Source: RefSeq, a predicted model, not a curated record
UCUAAACAUUCUGAACAUCACCUGGGACCAUCUGUAAAAUCAACCACAUACUUGGCAACAUAGAAAACCACAAAAGAGCAACAGAGAUCGUUUGAAGACAAACCUGCUGAGGGCACUGACCUGCUCAGCUUCUCACCUUGUCUGCUCCUUGUGCCUCUGACCUCUCUCAUUUACUGUCUGACAGUGCAAAGAAUUGAGACAAAGAAGGCUCUGGAUGCUGAACACCUUGGAGGCAGAAUCUGGCCACCUUCUCCCUUAACCAUUGCAUGAUAUUCUUUACACUGAAGGAUUUAAAUUUCUUUGUUAUAUACAAGUCCACAAGGAAAAUAUAAUGUUAUAAAAUUCCAACUAGGAA